RNAcentral lists this transfer RNA (73 nucleotides) under Bos taurus (domestic cattle). It matches the Rfam family "tRNA". Rfam says of the family: Transfer RNA (tRNA) molecules are approximately 80 nucleotides in length. Their secondary structure includes four short double-helical elements and three loops (D, anti-codon, and T loops). The record is from Rfam by way of RNAcentral. RNAcentral also lists the same sequence under 5 other names. Lineage: Eukaryota; Metazoa; Chordata; Mammalia; Artiodactyla; Bovidae.
UCCCUGGCAGUCCAGUGGUUAAGACUCUGCACUCCCAAUGCAGGGGACACAGGUUCAAACCCUGGUCAGGGAA